Molecule: ribosomal RNA, 481 nt
Filed under: uncultured bacterium
Lineage: Bacteria
Description: bacterial SSU rRNA
Rfam family: Bacterial small subunit ribosomal RNA
Source: RNAcentral
GAUGAACGCUGGCGGCGUGCUUAACACAUGCAAGUCGAACGAAGCGACUAUGAUUGAGAUUUCGGUUGAUUGAUUAGUUGACUUAGUGGCGGACGGGUGAGUAACGCGUGGGUAACCUGCCUCGUACAGGGGGGAUAACAGUUAGAAAUGACUGCUAAUACCGCAUAACCCGCUAGGGUCGCAUGACCCAGACGGAAAAGAUUUAUCGGUACGAGAUGGACCCGCGUCUGAUUAGCUAGUUGGUGAGGUAACGGCCCCACCAAGGCGACGAUCAGUAGCCGGCCUGAGAGGGUGAACGGCCACAUUGGGACUGAGACACGGCCCAAACUCCUACGGGAGGCAGCAGUGGGGAAUAUUGCACAAUGGGGGAAACCCUGAUGCAGCAACGCCGCGUGAGUGAAGAAGUAUUUCGGUAUGUAAAGCUCUAUCAGCAGGGAAGAAAAUGACGGUACCUGACUAAGAAGCCCCGGCUAACUACGUG